UCAGGUGUCCUUAUAAGAAGAGAUUAGGACACAGACAUGCAUGCCCACGGAGAGGAGACCAUGUGAAGACACAGUCAGGAUGAGACCAGCUACAGACCACAGAGGGAGGCCUUGGAAGAAGUCAAUCCUGCCGACACAUUGAUCCAGGACUUCUUGCCUCCAGAGCGUGUCGUAACCAGACUGCAGCUGACCCAGUACGCUACCAUCCCUUGGAACUCCACGACUGCAGUGAGCUCCUGCCGACUUCCGGGUUUCUGACUGCUGGACGCUGCAUCUACCAAGCGAUGGGGGGAAACAGAUGAAGCACCCACUCCUGAAUCCCCAGCCAAUGCCUGUGUAAAUACUCCCAUCAUGGCCAAUGUCAAGCUCCAACAGCACAUCACUGAACUUUGAGUUGGAAAGAAAUAUGCACACUAGGCUUUUGUGAGCUGUCUCAAGCUGGCUUCAUCACAUUAGCAGGAAAGAAUGAAUUAUGGGAAUAAUCAGCUAGAAGAGCAUGUCUUUCUUCUGUGGUUGCAAUAACAAGAAGUAGGAGGGGGAGAAGGAAAAGGAGAAAGAGGAAGAAGGAGAGGAGGAGGAAGAAGAGGAGGAGAAGAAAAAGUGCCACUGCCAACCUAGUGAAUCCGAUAAAAGAGAAACUUCUGAUAGAUUGACAUGAAAGAAAGCUGUCAUUUAGGAUCAAUAUCCUAAGUGUUUAUUUAAAUGCUUUAUGGAUGAGCUGUUGAGUCUUCUGCUCUUCUGGUGAAAGAAUUAAAAUCUAGCAAUGUUUCCAGACUCCUUUUUGACUUGACUCUGA
Molecule: long non-coding RNA, 796 nt
Filed under: Homo sapiens (human)
Lineage: Eukaryota; Metazoa; Chordata; Mammalia; Primates; Hominidae
Description: HSALNT0086530
Source: RNAcentral